This 417-nucleotide long non-coding RNA is filed under the name Androctonus crassicauda. The record is from RNAcentral. Lineage: Eukaryota; Metazoa; Arthropoda; Arachnida; Scorpiones; Buthidae.
GUGCUGAAGAAGUUAAAUGUUUACUCUACUGGCAGUGUACGUAUAGUUAUUUAGCUGUAGAUAACCACCAAAGUAUAUAAUAUUAUAUAUAUAUACGUACAUACAUAAAAGUCACUUGUCUUUGUGGGGUUCUUGUGUCUUCUCUCCAUGUUCAUGGUGUGGAUGUUGUGGAUUGCAGUGGGGAUGUGUUCCGGUGGGUGUUGUGGGUCAGCCUUCCAGUUGCAAAGGGUGGUCCCAAGUGGUUGUGGAAUAUAUAUACGAUGGAUCUGGAGUGGCAGUCGAAGUCAUAUGUUGUUGAUCGCACACCAUUUCCAUGAUGUAGGGAGUGCUAGGAGGGUGUUGUUGUUGAUGGUAUCAUGAGAGUGCUUCAUCUUCUCCAUUUGCAUAGCUUCCGUUGUGCCCGGUCCUGUGCAAUUG